RNAcentral lists this ribosomal RNA (468 nucleotides) under uncultured bacterium. RNAcentral's name for it is "bacterial SSU rRNA". It matches the Rfam family "Bacterial small subunit ribosomal RNA", at positions 335 to 795 of the family's 1533-position model. The record is from RNAcentral.
ACUCCUACGGGAGGCAGCAGUAGGGAAUCUUCCACAAUGGACGCAAGUCUGAUGGAGCAACGCCGCGUGAGUGAAGAAGGUUUUCGGAUCGUAAAGCUCUGUUGUUGGUGAGGAAGGAUAGAGGUAGUAACUGGCCUUUAUUUGACGGUAAUCAACCAGAAAGUCACGGCUAACUACGUGCCAGCAGCCGCGGUAAUACGUAGGUGGCAAGCGUUGUCCGGAUUUAUUGGGCGUAAAGCGAGCGCAGGCGGAAAAAUAAGUCUAAUGUGAAAGCCCUCGGCUUAACCGAGGAACUGCAUCGGAAACUGUUUUUCUUGAGUGCAGAAGAGGAGAGUGGAACUCCAUGUGUAGCGGUGGAAUGCGUAGAUAUAUGGAAGAACACCAGUGGCGAAGGCGGCUCUCUGGUCUGCAACUGACGCUGAGGCUCGAAAGCAUGGGUAGCGAACAGGAUUAGAUACCCUGGUAGUC